Long non-coding RNA from Nematostella vectensis (starlet sea anemone), 727 nucleotides. RefSeq lists it as uncharacterized. The record is from RefSeq and is a predicted model, not a curated record. Lineage: Eukaryota; Metazoa; Cnidaria; Anthozoa; Actiniaria; Edwardsiidae. The transcript is spliced from 2 exons.
UCGCAGCUGUCACAGUCCGAUUUGCUUUGUUGUACAUUCCUGUUACAACCCGUUUUGACACUAGUAUUUGUUGGAAAUGCUACUUUGGCACCGCUGCGAUUAUACUCAUCAAGGGGCAGGAAAAUGCUUAAAUCACAGGCGAAAAUCGUCUUCACUUUACAAUCACUGUCAUGCUCUUUGUACCUUUCACGAUAGUGACUCCUUCGCAUUUUGACAUGAAUCCUCUUGUUUUUACGCUACAGCGAGAGAGAUCCGUUGGUAACUGGUCUAGUCUAAUCCAUCCCCAGUCGCUGUUGGAUUUUGUCCGGGACAUUUAUCCCACCGAUAUUCAGGAACACAAGCCUAUGUCCAGAAAGAGAAACUGCUGGACUACUUUGAGAGGAUACAACCACGGGUGGUGAAUUAUCAAAGCCCAAAUCAUUCCAAUAUGGACGAUGUCAUAUACUAGGCUGUUCACCAAAUAAACGCUACGAUCGCUGUUAUCUGAAACUGUGUAUUUCACUCUUUUAUUUCAGAUACUGAUGCUGCUUCUCAAUAAUUUUAAUGAAACAAGUUUACUGAACAGAAAUACUAGUAACAAAAUUGAUUGUGCAACUCAGUUACUCGUAAUUUCAUUUGUAGUUUAUAUUUUAUAUUAAAACUGUGUCAAGAUCAUUGUUUUUCCUUGAGGCAACCAUUGUCUUUGUUAAAAAUUAAUAAAUUAAUGAAUGAAGGAAUGAAUAAAAAA